UCGAAUAAGACCCGCAAGGGUCUGACAACACCCGUGCACUUUUUUGCGUACCUUUGUUUCCUCGGCAGCUCCGCCUGCCAGCGAGGACCCCCAUAAAACCUUUUGCAAUCUUUGAAAUUCAGAAUAAUCCUUAAUUAUUA
Molecule: unclassified non-coding RNA, 140 nt
Filed under: uncultured Ascomycota
Lineage: Eukaryota; Fungi; Ascomycota
Description: sequence contains ITS1
Source: RNAcentral